Beta vulgaris subsp. vulgaris (sugar beet) is the source of this 97-nucleotide non-coding RNA. The record is from Rfam. NCBI's taxonomy places the organism in Eukaryota, Viridiplantae, Streptophyta, Magnoliopsida, Caryophyllales, Amaranthaceae.
UAGCCUAUGAAGAAAUCAGUUUAAAAAACACCAUCUUUCGGGACUGAAUGGCCCCCUAAAAGGGCCUUGCUGUUACAAUUCUGCAAUUCUGAGGCUU